Protopterus annectens (West African lungfish) is the source of this 566-nucleotide long non-coding RNA. RefSeq lists it as uncharacterized. NCBI's taxonomy places the organism in Eukaryota, Metazoa, Chordata, Ceratodontiformes, Protopteridae. The record is from RefSeq and is a predicted model, not a curated record. The transcript is spliced from 3 exons.
CUCUUUCUAUCCUACCAGCACUGUGUUCCAGCUUGGUCCUACACCAAACACCUGAAUAACACCAGCCAGGUCCUUUUGAACAGUAGUGUAAACUAAGACACUUACCCUUCAACUACAAGUGUUAUAGCUACGUUAUAGCUACAGAACUACAAGUGUUACCUUUCCUUGGGAAAGGCUUUGAAUAGGUGAAAGGGUUGUGAUGAUGCUAAUGACAAAACGUCCCUUAAAAAUAAACUGUUACUUGGAUGAAGCAACAUCUUGUGACGAGGGCAGAAGUACCAAUGUUGUGAAGCCCAGGAAGUGCAGACUGGAUAUUUUAUGAAGGAUGAAUCAAUACAGCAAUGAAGUGAAAGUUUUUCCCACAUAAAUGAAUGAGCAUUGUCUGCUUGGGAGCUUCAUGGUUUCCACCUGGGAUUAUCAUAAAGUGCGCUAACUGGACAUCUCAUAAACCUUGUUAUGAUAUGGCAAUACUUUGGACACUAAGGAUUCUGUUGUGUUAUUUGAAAGCUUAUCCAGUAAACUCCUCAACUGCUAUUUUUUUUUUACUGUACACAUUAAGGAUUCUG